CGUGUAGGCGGCGUAUCAAGCUUGGUGUGAAAUCUUCCGGCUCAACCGGAAAGGCGCGCUGAGAACUGAUAUGCUAGAGUUUAAGAGGGGGGAGUUAGAAUUCCAGGUGUAGGGGUGAAAUCUGUAGAUAUCUGGAAGAAUACCGGUGGCGAAGGCGAACUCCUGGCAAUAAACUGACGCUGAGGCGCGAAAGCGUGGGUAGCAAACA
Molecule: ribosomal RNA, 208 nt
Filed under: uncultured bacterium
Lineage: Bacteria
Description: partial 16S ribosomal RNA
Rfam family: Bacterial small subunit ribosomal RNA
Source: RNAcentral